This 680-nucleotide ribosomal RNA is filed under the name Salmonella enterica subsp. enterica serovar Goldcoast. Its description in RNAcentral is "bacterial SSU rRNA". It matches the Rfam family "Bacterial small subunit ribosomal RNA", at positions 865 to 1533 of the family's 1533-position model. Lineage: Bacteria; Pseudomonadati; Pseudomonadota; Gammaproteobacteria; Enterobacterales; Enterobacteriaceae. The record is from RNAcentral.
UAGACCGCCUGGGGAGUACGGCCGCAAGGUUAAAACUCAAAUGAAUUGACGGGGGCCCGCACAAGCGGUGGAGCAUGUGGUUUAAUUCGAUGCAACGCGAAGAACCUUACCUGGUCUUGACAUCCACAGAAGUUUCCAGAGAUGGAUUUGUGCCUUCGGGAACUGUGAGACAGGUGCUGCAUGGCUGUCGUCAGCUCGUGUUGUGAAAUGUUGGGUUAAGUCCCGCAACGAGCGCAACCCUUAUCCUUUGUUGCCAGCGGUUAGGCCGGGAACUCAAAGGAGACUGCCAGUGAUAAACUGGAGGAAGGUGGGGAUGACGUCAAGUCAUCAUGGCCCUUACGACCAGGGCUACACACGUGCUACAAUGGCGCAUACAAAGAGAAGCGACCUCGCGAGAGCAAGCGGACCUCAUAAAGUGCGUCGUAGUCCGGAUUGGAGUCUGCAACUCGACUCCAUGAAGUCGGAAUCGCUAGUAAUCGUGGAUCAGAAUGCCACGGUGAAUACGUUCCCGGGCCUUGUACACACCGCCCGUCACACCAUGGGAGUGGGUUGCAAAAGAAGUAGGUAGCUUAACCUUCGGGAGGGCGCUUACCACUUUGUGAUUCAUGACUGGGGUGAAGUCGUAACAAGGUAACCGUAGGGGAACCUGCGGUUGGAUCACCUCCUUACCUGAAAGAAGC